RNAcentral lists this ribosomal RNA (224 nucleotides) under uncultured bacterium. RNAcentral's name for it is "partial 16S ribosomal RNA". It matches the Rfam family "Bacterial small subunit ribosomal RNA", at positions 107 to 334 of the family's 1533-position model. The record is from RNAcentral.
UGAGUAAUACAUCGGAACGUGUCUUCUAGUGGGGGAUAACUGCCCGAAAGGGCAGCUAAUACCGCAUGAGACCUGAGGGUGAAAGCGGGGGAUCGUAAGACCUCGCGCUGGAAGAGCGGCCGAUGUCCGAUUAGCUAGUUGGUGAGGUAAAGGCUCACCAAGGCGGCGAUCGGUAGCUGGUCUGAGAGGACGACCAGCCACACUGGGACUGAGACACGGCCCAG